CCUGCGGGUGGCAGCAGUGGGGAAUAUUGGACAAUGGGCGAAAGCCUGAUCCAGCCAUGCCGCGUGUGUGAAGAAGGCCUUCGGGUUGUAAAGCACUUUCAGUGGGGAAGAAAGCCUUGGGGCUAAUACCCUCGAGGAAGGACAUCACCCACAGAAGAAGCACCGGCUAACUCCGUGCCAGCAGCCGCGGUAAUACGGAGGGGUGCGAGCGUUAAUCGGAAUUACUGGGCGUAAAGCGCGCGUAGGCGGUCUGAUAAGCCGGUUGUGAAAGCCCCGGGCUCAACCUGGGAACGGCAUCCGGAACUGUCAGGCUAGAGUGCAGGAGAGGAAGGUAGAAUUCCCGGUGUAGCGGUGAAAUGCGUAGAGAUCGGGAGGAAUACCAGUGGCGAAGGCGGCCUUCUGGACUGACACUGACGCUGAGGUGCGAAAGCGUGGGUAGCAAACAGGAUUAGAUACCCCAGUAGUC
RNAcentral lists this ribosomal RNA (466 nucleotides) under Vreelandella stevensii. Its description in RNAcentral is "partial 16S ribosomal RNA". It matches the Rfam family "Bacterial small subunit ribosomal RNA", at positions 338 to 795 of the family's 1533-position model. The record is from RNAcentral. Lineage: Bacteria; Pseudomonadati; Pseudomonadota; Gammaproteobacteria; Oceanospirillales; Halomonadaceae.